This 220-nucleotide unclassified non-coding RNA is filed under the name plant metagenome. RNAcentral's name for it is "partial contains small subunit ribosomal RNA, internal transcribed spacer 1, and 5.8S ribosomal RNA". The record is from RNAcentral.
UUUCCGUAGGUGAACCUGCGGAAGGAUCAUUACAGAGUUCAUGCCCUCACGGGUAGAUCCCCCACCCUUGAAUAUUUAUACCUUAGUUGCUUUGGCAGGCCGUGGAAACACCAUGGGCUCCGGCUUAUGCGUGCCUGCCAGAGGAAACAAACUCUGUUUUUAGUGAUGUCUGAGUACUAUAUAAUAGUUAAAACUUUCAACAACGGAUCUCUUGGUUCUG